RNAcentral lists this ribosomal RNA (153 nucleotides) under uncultured bacterium. RNAcentral describes it as "partial 16S rRNA". The record is from RNAcentral.
CCAGCAGCCGCGGCAAUACGGGCCAGCGGCCGCAAAGCUCUGUACCACGGGAGGAAGGGCAGCGACCUAAUACGUGAUGGUUAUGACGGUACCGACAGAAUAAGCACCGGCUAACUCUGUGCCAGCAGCCGCGGUAAUACGCGCCAGCAGCCG